RNAcentral lists this transfer RNA (67 nucleotides) under Exosoma lusitanicum. Its description in RNAcentral is "tRNA-Ser". The record is from RNAcentral. Lineage: Eukaryota; Metazoa; Arthropoda; Insecta; Coleoptera; Chrysomelidae.
GAAAUAAGAUAACCGAGAAUAAGCUUCUAACUUAAUUCUUAAGCAAUGGAAUUUUGUUUUUAUUUCU